AAAAAGCGGAGGAAAAGAAACCAACAGGGAUUGCCUCAGUAACGGCGAGUGAAGCGGCAAAAGCUCAAAUUUGAAAUCUAACACUUUCAGUGUUCGAGUUGUAAUUUGAAGAAAGUUUCUCUGAGUAGUCCUUUAUCUAUGUUCCUUGGAACAGGACGUCAUAGAGGGUGAGAAUCCCGUAUGAUUUUGGAUACUAUUCUUUGUGAGAUUCUUUCGAAGAGUCGAGUUGUUUGGGAAUGCAGCUCUAAGUGGGUGGUAAAUUCCAUCUAAAGCUAAAUAUUGGCGAGAGACCGAUAGCGAACAAGUACAGUGAUGGAAAGAUGAAAAGAACUCUGAAGAGAGAGUGAAAAAGUACGUGAAAUUGCUGAAAGGGAAGGGCUUUAGGUCAGACUUGGUGUUUAAUGAUUAUCUUCUCUUUUUGAGUUGUGCACUCGUUUUUCACUGGGCCAAUAUCAGUUUUUGUGGUAGAGCACCUAUUGGAAUGUAGCUUUUCUUCGGAUGAGUGUUAUAGCCUUUAGACGAUCUAUUUACGGAGACUGAGGACUGCGCGUUAUGCUAGGAUAUUGGCGUAAUGACCUUAAGCCGCCCGUCUUGACCC
Molecule: ribosomal RNA, 598 nt
Filed under: Saccharomycopsis crataegensis
Lineage: Eukaryota; Fungi; Ascomycota; Saccharomycetes; Ascoideales; Saccharomycopsidaceae
Description: eukaryotic LSU rRNA
Rfam family: Eukaryotic large subunit ribosomal RNA
Source: RNAcentral